RNAcentral lists this transfer RNA (77 nucleotides) under Afipia sp. P52-10. RNAcentral describes it as "tRNA-Pro". It matches the Rfam family "tRNA". Rfam says of the family: Transfer RNA (tRNA) molecules are approximately 80 nucleotides in length. The record is from RNAcentral. RNAcentral also lists the same sequence under 3 other names. Lineage: Bacteria; Pseudomonadati; Pseudomonadota; Alphaproteobacteria; Hyphomicrobiales; Nitrobacteraceae.
CGGAGUGUGGCUCAGUCUGGUAGAGCACCUCGUUCGGGACGAGGGGGUCGCAGGUUCAAAUCCUGCCACUCCGACCA